CUUUAAAUUAGUGGCAAACGGGUGAGUAAUGUAAAGGAAUCUGCCCAGCAGUAUGGAAUAACCUUGGGAAACCAAAGCUAAUACCAUAUAUUACCCUCCGGGGGAAAGAUUUAUCGCUGUUGGAUGAGCCUUUAUCGGAUUAGCUAGUUGGUAGGGUAAUGGCCUACCAAGGCAAUGAUCCGUAGCUGGUCUGAGAGGAUGAUCAGCCACACUGGAACUGAGACACGGCCCAAACUCC
This 238-nucleotide ribosomal RNA is filed under the name uncultured bacterium. Its description in RNAcentral is "partial 16S ribosomal RNA". It matches the Rfam family "Bacterial small subunit ribosomal RNA", at positions 85 to 339 of the family's 1533-position model. The record is from RNAcentral.